AUUGAACGCUGGCGGCAGGCCUAACACAUGCAAGUCGAGCGCGCGGCGGGCAGGUGAGUAAUGUCUGUGAAACUGCCUGAUGGGGGGGGAUAACUACUGGAAACGGUGUCUAAUACCGCAUACCAUCAGAUGUGCCCCGAUGGGGUUAGCUAGUGGGUGGGGUAACGGCUCACCUAGGCGACGAUCCCUAGCUGGUCUGAGAGGAUGACCAGCCACACUGGAACUGAGACACGGUCCAGACUCCUACGGGAGGCAGCAGUGGGGAAUAUUGCACAAUGGGCGCAAGCCUGAUGCAGCCAUGCCGCGUGUGUGAAGAAGGCCUUCGGGUUGUAAAGCACUUUCAGCGGGGAGGCGUUACCCGCAGAAGAAGCACCGGCUAACUCCGUGCCAGCAGCCGCGGUAAUAC
This 406-nucleotide ribosomal RNA is filed under the name uncultured bacterium. RNAcentral describes it as "partial 16S ribosomal RNA". It matches the Rfam family "Bacterial small subunit ribosomal RNA", at positions 30 to 526 of the family's 1533-position model. The record is from RNAcentral.